AGAUUGAACGCUGGCGGCAGGCCUAACACAUGCAAGUCGAGCGGCAGCACGGGUACUUGUACCUGGUGGCGAGCGGCGGACGGGUGAGUAAUGCCUAGGAAUCUGCCUGGUAGUGGGGGAUAACGCUCGGAAACGGACGCUAAUACCGCAUACGUCCUACGGGAGAAAGCAGGGGACCUUCGGGCCUCGCGCUAUCAGAUGAGCCUAGGUCGGAUUAGCUAGUUGGUGAGGUAAUGGCUCACCAAGGCGACGACUCCGUAACUGGUCUGAGAGGAUGAUCAGUCACACUGGAACUGAGACACGGUCCAGACU
This 312-nucleotide ribosomal RNA is filed under the name uncultured soil bacterium. RNAcentral describes it as "bacterial SSU rRNA". It matches the Rfam family "Bacterial small subunit ribosomal RNA", at positions 26 to 337 of the family's 1533-position model. The record is from RNAcentral.